UAGGUUAAGGGGUUUGUUGUCUGGCUCGGGGCUCCCGGUCUUGAUCGAUGCGCGACUCCAUCUCCCUUCACCGGGGAGACGUGCGUUGCGUACGUUGACCGGGGAUCUCGGACCAGGCUUCAAUCCCUUUAACCAUGCGG
RNAcentral lists this microRNA precursor (140 nucleotides) under Brachypodium distachyon (stiff brome). Its description in RNAcentral is "miR166h stem-loop (bdi-MIR166h)". Its record names the gene bdi-MIR166h. It matches the Rfam family "mir-166 microRNA precursor family". From Rfam's summary of the family: This family represents the plant microRNA (miRNA) precursor mir-166. Animal miRNAs are transcribed as ~70nt precursors and subsequently processed by the Dicer enzyme to give a ~22nt product. The record is from miRBase by way of RNAcentral. Lineage: Eukaryota; Viridiplantae; Streptophyta; Magnoliopsida; Poales; Poaceae.